UACGGGGGGGGCAAGCGUUGUUCGGAAUUACUGGGCGUAAAGGGCGCGUAGGCGGUCCGCUAAGUUAGAUGUGAAAACUCUGGGCUCAACCCAGAGCCUGCAUCUAAUACUGACGGGCUAGAGUUCUGGAGGGGGUAGCGGAAUUCCUGGUGUAGCGGUGAAAUGCGUAGAUAUCAGGAGGAACACCGGUGGCGAAGGCGGCUACCUGGACAGAAACUGACGCUGAGGCGCGAAAGCUAGGGGAGCAAACAGG
Molecule: ribosomal RNA, 253 nt
Filed under: uncultured bacterium
Lineage: Bacteria
Description: partial 16S ribosomal RNA
Rfam family: Bacterial small subunit ribosomal RNA
Source: RNAcentral